This 206-nucleotide long non-coding RNA is filed under the name Nicotiana benthamiana. Its description in RNAcentral is "long non-coding RNA (NBEN_LNC003074)". The record is from RNAcentral. Lineage: Eukaryota; Viridiplantae; Streptophyta; Magnoliopsida; Solanales; Solanaceae.
CUCGAUGGGCAUCCUCUGCUGUAGAUCUUUGUUCUUCUUCUUCGGUUGGAAUAAUGGAACUAAAGUCCUCGAGAGAACCAAAAUUCCAUUCUCCUUUUUCAUCAAACUCCACGUCCCGACUUAUCACAAGCUUGUUAGUAUCUGAUUAUAUAAUUUGUAGCCUUUGGAGUUGGAAUCAUACCCGAUAAAGAUGAACGCCUUACUUU